UUGGUGGGUUGCUCUAUUUUGCGGCUGGGAAUUAGAAUUGAUUUGGGUUUUAAUCAGCUGGGAUCAUUGCUUGCUUUUCCCCUAUUAUUUUCUCAUUUAUUUUACUGAAGGGUUUCUGGGCGGUUAAUUUUUUUGCUGCUUAUUUGAUUUUGGGAGUGUAUUUUGUUAUAUGAUGCUCUGGGUUUGGGAAAUCCCUCUUAAAUUUGAUGCUAGUUUGAGCUCUAAUGGUGUUAUUGGACCCGAUGAGGUUCUUCUGAA
This 258-nucleotide unclassified non-coding RNA is filed under the name Hevea brasiliensis (rubber tree). The record is from RNAcentral. Lineage: Eukaryota; Viridiplantae; Streptophyta; Magnoliopsida; Malpighiales; Euphorbiaceae.